RNAcentral lists this ribosomal RNA (113 nucleotides) under uncultured bacterium. RNAcentral describes it as "partial 16S ribosomal RNA". It matches the Rfam family "Bacterial small subunit ribosomal RNA", at positions 1373 to 1482 of the family's 1533-position model. The record is from RNAcentral.
CCCGGGCCUUGUACACACCGCCCGUCAAGUCACGAAAGUUGGUAACAUCCGAAGCCGGUGGCCUAACCCCUUGUGGGAGGGAGCUGUCGAAGGUGGGACUGGCGAUUGGGACU